This 274-nucleotide ribosomal RNA is filed under the name uncultured bacterium. RNAcentral's name for it is "partial 16S ribosomal RNA". It matches the Rfam family "Bacterial small subunit ribosomal RNA", at positions 523 to 796 of the family's 1533-position model. The record is from RNAcentral.
AUACGAAGGUCCCAAGCGUUAUUCGGAAUCACUGGGCGUAAAGAGUACGUAGGCGGUUUGGUAAGUCAGGUGUGAAAUCCCGGAGCUCAACUCCGGAACUGCAUCCGAUACUGCCAGACUUGAGUAAUGGAGAGGCAGGUGGAAUUCUCGGUGUAGCAGUGAAAUGCGUGGAUAUCGAGAGGAAGACCAAUGGCGAAGGCAGCCUGCUGGACAUUUACUGACGCUGAGGUACGAAGGCUAGGGGAGCGAAAGGGAGUAGAAACCCCAGUAGUCC